Molecule: long non-coding RNA, 5938 nt
Filed under: Populus trichocarpa (black cottonwood)
Lineage: Eukaryota; Viridiplantae; Streptophyta; Magnoliopsida; Malpighiales; Salicaceae
Description: long non-coding RNA (PTRI_LNC001518)
Source: RNAcentral
GAAAACCCUUUACCCGGCAUAUCACUCCUAUAUCAUACAGCCAGAAUCUAUACGAAAUUAACCCCGUAUAUGCUUGAUAUCACUCAAAAUGGUUCCUACCUUGUCCGCCUUCAUUUCUUUCCAUUCAGCUUCAAAAGGACUCAUCUUGCUGAUGCUUUGUUCGAUGUGUCUGCUUCAAAUUUUUCACUUUUAACAGAUUUUAGAGUCCCGAACAGUACUACUGAGUUCCCAGUGAUCAAGGAGUUCUUUCUCACGAUUGCUGCAGGAAAAUUCAAAAUCUACUUUAAACCAGCUGAAGAAACAUCUUAUGCUUUCGUGAAUGCCAUAGAAGCCUUUCUUCUCCCACCAAAUUUCUUCUUGGAUAAUGCCUCUGCAACUCCUCCUUUACGGACCGAAGAUGGACUUCUUAGGACACUUUAUAGGAUCAAUGUUGGAGGUCCAGAAGUUAACGAUACCCUGUGGAGGAAUUGGGUACCAGAUGAUGAUUAUCUAACUUUCGGGGGUUCGGGUGCAAACCGUAUUUUUGGUGGUGAACUUCAUGAGGCCAGUCAAGGGUUGAUUGUCCAAGAAAUCGCCCCUGAUUCUGUGUACAAAACUUACAAAGAAGCGAGUGUAGAUAAUAAAGGGGCAUCCAAUUUUCCAAAUAUAACUUGGCGUUUUAACGUGAGCAAGAAAGCUAGGCAUCUUGUUCGUCUGCACUUUUGUGACUUUUUCAGUGAUUCACCAGGUACUGUGAAAUUUGAUCUCUAUAUAUCUACCAAUUUCAGUCAUGAGAUCGAUCCUAAUCCUAAUGGGGUUAGUGAAAUGGCAUCUCCAUUUUUCUACGAUUUUGUGGUUCCUUCUGAUGAUUCCGGAUAUAUGAGUUUUAGGAUAGCCCCAGGAAAUAAUUCUAUUAAGAAAGUUGCUUUUCUGAAUGGACUGGAGAUCAUGGAGUUUGUGGGGAACACGACAAUUGUAGUGCCUGUUGAUGAACAUGAGCCAAAAAAGCAUCUAGCUCGCACAAUUGGUUCAGCUGGAGGUGGGACUCUAGUCUUGGUUUUGAUUUUAUUAUUCUCAUUAUGUUUGAGAUUAAAGCGACCAAAGCCCGUAAAAGCUGAGUUUCUUUAUGGAAAAGGGAGGUCUCCCAGUUGGAUAACUGAAAAAACUGAAAAUGCCUCCUCCAACUUUACUAAUUUAAACCUCAAACUGAAGAUGUCUUUAGCUGAAAUACUGGCUGCGACUCAUAAUUUCAAUCCAAAGUUGUUGAUUGGUGAGGGUGGGUUUGGCAAAGUUUAUAAAGGAACUCUUGAGACUGGUAUGAAGGUGGCUGUGAAACGAAGCGAUUCAAGUCAUGGCCAGGGUCUUCCAGAGUUCCGAACUGAGGUCAUGGUCCUUUCAAAGAUUCAACAUCGGCAUCUUGUUUCCUUGGUUGGCUACUGCGAUGAAGGAUCGGAGAUGAUAUUGGUUUUUGAAUUCUUGGAAAAGGGGACUUUGAGAGACCACUUAUACAGCACGAAGGAGUGCUCAAAGAAUCCAUCUGCAAAAACUGAAUUGAAUUGGAAACAAAGGCUUGAAAUCUGUAUUGGCUCAGCAAAAGGUCUCCAUUACCUCCAUACUGGUCCAGAUGGAGGAAUCUUUCACCGUGAUGUUAAGUCUACAAACAUCUUACUUGAUGAACAUUACGUGGCCAAAGUAGCUGAUUUCGGUCUUUCUCAACAAGGAAUGCCUGAUCCGGACCAUAUAAGCAUGGGUUUUAAAGGUACUUUUGGUUAUCUUGACCCUGAAUAUCUCAGAACUUUUCAGUUAACCAAUAAAUCAGAUGUGUAUUCUUUUGGUGUGGUUCUUCUUGAAGUGCUUUGUGCUCGACUCCCUGUUGUAGACUCACAGCAGAAGGAAGAAAUAAACUUAGCUGAAUGGGGGAUGUUUUGGCAAAAGGAAGGGCAGCUUGAAAAGAUUAUCGAUCCUCUACUGGCAGGUCACAUCAACCCUAAUUCGCUAAGAAAAUUUGGUGAAAUAGCUGAGAAGUGUUUGAAGCCACAAGGAGCAGACAGGCCUAAUAUGAUUGAUGUGUGCUGGGAUUUAGAAUACGCAAUGCAGCUUCAACAGACUGCAGUGCAUAGAGAGGCACAUGAGGACACCACCACAACAGGUGUUUCAUCAGAUUCAGCACUCCCACUUAUGCAGAACAUGAGUUCUAAUAUGUUCCCAGUUGAUGAUUUCUCAGAUACAACAGAUACUGUAAUGUAUCCCAAUUAAGAAUUAACGAUUCUAGAUGAUCCCCACGGGUCAGGAAUGAGCUCUCAGUGCCUCUUAUUAUUAUAUCAAAUUUCUGCAGCAACGAAUGGACUUUGAAGUCAUUUGAGUAUAUGCUCUAGUUAAUUCAUGUUGUCAGAUGAGAAGUUCUAAAUAACAGCAAGUACGUUCACAAGCUUUGUCGAUCACACCAAAUGCCUUUGUAAUUCUCUGGGUUGGAAGUGCCUGUUCAACAAAGAGUGAUUGAGGUGGAUAGGUUGACAGAUUUUAGAUGCUAAUGUUCAUCCCUUGGAUGCAUAUCUGUUAAAUAUAAAUAAUAAUAAAGUUUGAUUGGAUGCUUAAUGUACUCAAAAUUCAUGGUAAAUUUGUUUCAAUUAUGGGCUCAAUUUUAGAUAUUAAAUAUGAGGUCAGGCAAAUCAAGAUAACCUGCUCAAAACUUGAUAGGCCACCACUCUUAUUCAAACAAUGCAUCCUAAGAAUUACCUUUUCUUUUCAGGAACAAGUAUCAGAAAGGAUGCAUAAUUUUCAAGAAACCAGUUGACUCAGUUAACAUGAACUUUAGAAAUUUUAGUUAAUCAGAUUUACCUAAUUUUCAAGAAAUUGAGUUGAUUCAAUUGACACGAUCUUUAAAUUGGUCUAACUAACUAACUCACUACAUGUAAACCACCAUUUGAGCUUAUGGUGUCUCUAAAAUGGACAAAUUUGAAUCUAAUGUUUGCACACCCAGAUAGAAUUAGCCGACCCUUAUUUCUUUACCUACCCUUUAAGUUGUUGGUACUUAGCACUAAAUGUUAAUGAGACCCUUCUUACCAUAGUUAGGUCUAUAGAACAAUAUUAAAGCAUAUCAAUACUAGAGUAUGACCCAUUUAACACCAUAUUGUUUUUAAUAAACAAUAUAACCAUCAACUAAUAGGGUUAAUUAACUCAAAUAAUUGCCUUUGAACUAGGUCAAAUAGUGUUUUUCCAUACAUGCCCCAUUUAUCAUGUAGAUUAGUGUGUUUCACGGGUUUAAAAAGGCACAUGAAACACUAGGUAAAAUUUAAUUUUUUCAUUCCUUGCAUAAAUAAAUAUUCUCAUUCUCUAAGCACUUGUAUUUAUCAUCUUCUUCAAUAUACUUUGUUACAUACAAAACACAUCCUUCAAAGUUAUAUCCAUCAUACAACCGAACAAAUCUAAGAAUCAAAAGGUCCCCUAAGAUCUAUAUAGAACAUGUUUUAUAGGUGUCAUGACCAAUGCAAUGUUUCUUCUUCAACUUCUUAACCUAGUUAUUUUUUUGUUAAAAAGGCCUAAAUCCAAUGCAAUUUUCCUUAAACUUCAUUAUAAUUAAGUUUAUACAAAUAGUAAACUCAUCUAGUAUAUUACAGGUAGUCCAAUAUUGUCUUGAAAAUGAUAAACAUUUCCUUAUUUGGUAUAAACUAAACCUUUUUUAUUUAAAUUUUCUCAAUAUACUGAAGCAUUAGCAUUUUGUAAUGUAAAUUAUAGCCCAACCAAAUAUGUUAGUCUACUCAUUUAAUGAUACAUAUAAUCAAUAUGCUCUUGAAUUUUAUGAACAUAAUUAAAAGCAUAACUCAAUAAAUGAUCAAUAUAUUAUUGCUUAUCCACUACAACAAAAUAUUUAAAAAGCACAUAAAUAUUAUACUUAAUAUUUAAUGAAGGCAUGUAUCAUCAUAUAUGUUAAAAAAAUUCACACGAAAAUUAAGGAAUUUAUUUUAAUAAUGAAUAAAUUAACACCACAAUUAAACAAUUUAUAUUAACAAUAAAUUAAUAUUAAUUGCCUUAUUAUUAUUAUUUUAACUGCCAAAGGGCAGUUACACAUCUUUUAAAGAUGUGUUCUUUUGGAGGUUUUUUUUCAACUGCCAAAUGGCAGUUUCCAUUACCAAUUCACACGAUUAAUUGGUAAUUGUUCUUUUUUUCUUUUUUUGUUACAUAAUAAUUAUACAACUACCAUACAGAAAGCCUUUUCUAAUUAAUGAUAGAAAAGAUAAAAUCAUAACUCAGUUACUUCAUAAAAUUUUGUAAAUUCAAGACUCAAUGAAAGAAUUCUUUUAACAUGAAUUUACAUCUAACAUUUAUAUAAUAACAGAUGUACUGAAUAAAAAAAAUAUUAAAAUCAUGGCUCUGAUACCAAUAUAGAUUAGAAAGGAAAACUUACUUAUGAAAAUUCGUUUUCGUAUCCCGAUUACUUCAGUGCCAUUUUAAUUACUAGAAUUAAAGUGAUAUUCCACAGUACGAACGUCUUUAUAAAUCUUGUCAAAAUAAUGUAGAGAAUCCAAGAUGAGAGAAGAGAAAUAGAGAAUGAUUAUUCAACAAAUGAAAAACUUGCUUUUUCAUAUGAGUUGUGUCCAUUUAUAUAUAAUUAGAGAAAACAAUUACUUCCUUUAAUAACUCCUAUAAUAACUUGGAUCAUGCCCAUCUAUCAUGGACGGAUCAUGCCUAAAUUUUUUCCAUCUUCAUUCUUUAAUCAAGUUGUUUUGAAUUUAUUAAGUAGAUCAUGUCAUAUCGAGUUAAUCUUCACACAGUUUAAUUUUUUUUAAUUAGAAAAAUAUUAGCAAUAAAUGUUUCUUUUAUCAGGACAAGUUUUAAUUAAGUCUUGAAAAUAUGUUCGCAAAAGAAAAGGCUGGAGUGGGGGAUAGAUUACUAGAACAUUGAAUAACGAAUGUCCAUGGUUUUGUUGGAUAUGUACUAGAUAUUGGUGUCUUUUACUAGAGCAAUGUCCAUGACAUUGGUGUGCAAAGUGUUUUUUAUCAGAAAGUAAUAUUUUAUAUUUUUAAUUUAACAUAUCAAGAUAAUUAAAAUAAAAAUAUUAAUUUUAUAUUUUUAUAAAAUAAAUAUACUUUUAAAACAUGUACAAACAAAAUUAGAAAAUUAGUGCCAAACCGUAAGAAGCAAGGAAUGAGAACAGUCAACGAGAACGGUCAAUUAUUGUUUCUUCAUGUAUUUGUUAGUUUGUUUUUAAAAGAUUCUAUAACGACAGGGACAAAUUAAUUGAUCAAGCAUAGUUAGAAAGACACUCGCAAACUGGGUCAAGCAAGGAAUGAGAACAGUCAAUGAGAUUCUAUACUUUUUGGUUGUGAUAAUGCCUCUGUGCUUGCAAGUAGUUGUGACUUUUCUUCUCCUUCAUUCAAUUGGCUAAUCUCUUAUUGUUGGCGAUAAAAACUGCUCUUCACAGAGAGUAACAGAUACAAGUCAACAAGUAUUCCUCUGAAAUUUCAAACUUGCCAGUACUCCCUCAUAUCUUCCGCUCCUGACAACCUUUCCUCCAUUCAAAGAAAAAGCAUCCAAUAUCCUCAUCCAAUUUCUAUGGAGUUCACUCUUCAUCCUCUCUUUCUUCUUCAAUCUCUUCUUCUUCUUUCAUCCUCAGUAUCUUACAAUCCAUCGGUUAAGUACUUCAUGAACUGCGGAUCAGGCACUGAUGUCGAUGAUCUUGACGGUUACCCGCGGACUUUUGUUGGUGAUGAGAAUUCUAACUCUUCCUUCUCUGUAGGAAAAAGCAAAUCUAUCCAAAAUGAAAACCCCUUACCCGGCAUAUCACUCCUAUAUCAUACAGCCAGAAUCUAUACGAAAUUAACCCCGUAUAUGCUUGAUAUCACUCAAAAUGGUUCCUACCUUGUCCGCCUUCAUUUCUUUCCAUUCAGCUUCAAAGGGACUCAUCUUGCUGAUGCUUUGUUCGAUGUGUCUGCUUCAAAUUUUUCACUUUUAACAGAUU